GAUGAACGCUGGCGGCGUGCCUAAUACAUGCAAGUAGAACGCUGAAGCUUGGUGCUUGCACCGAGCGGAUGAGUUGCGAACGGGUGAGUAACGCGUAGGUAACCUGCCUCUUAGCGGGGGAUAACUAUUGGAAACGAUAGCUAAUACCGCAUAAAAGUCGAUAUCGCAUGAUAUUGAUUUGAAAGGUGCAAUUGCAUCACUAAGAGAUGGACCUGCGUUGUAUUAGCUAGUUGGUGAGGUAACGGCUCACCAAGGCGACGAUACAUAGCCGACCUGAGAGGGUGAUCGGCCACACUGGGACUGAGACACGGCCCAGACUCCUACGGGAGGCAGCAGUAGGGAAUCUUCGGCAAUGGGGGCAACCCUGACCGAGCAACGCCGCGUGAGUGAAGAAGGUUUUCGGAUCGUAAAGCUCUGUUGUAAGAGAAGAACGAGUGUGAGAGUGGAAAGUUCACACUGUGACGGUAACUUACCAGAAAGGGACGGCUAACUACGUGCCAGCAGCCGCGGUAAUACGUAGGUCCCGAGCGUUAUCCGGAUUUAUUGGGCGUAAAGCGAGCGCAGGCGGUUAGAUAAGUCUGAAGUUAAAGGCUGUGGCUUAACCAUAGUACGCUUUGGAAACUGUUUAACUUGAGUGCAGAAGGGGAGAGUGGAAUUCCAUGUGUAGCGGUGAAAUGCGUAGAUAUAUGGAGGAACACCGGUGGCGAAAGCGGCUCUCUGGUCUGUAACUGACGCUGAGGCUCGAAGGCGUGGGGAGCAAACAGG
This 765-nucleotide ribosomal RNA is filed under the name uncultured Streptococcus sp. Its description in RNAcentral is "bacterial SSU rRNA". It matches the Rfam family "Bacterial small subunit ribosomal RNA", at positions 28 to 776 of the family's 1533-position model. The record is from RNAcentral. Lineage: Bacteria; Bacillati; Bacillota; Bacilli; Lactobacillales; Streptococcaceae.